This 348-nucleotide unclassified non-coding RNA is filed under the name soil metagenome. Its description in RNAcentral is "partial contains 5.8S ribosomal RNA, internal transcribed spacer 2, and large subunit ribosomal RNA". The stretch from base 1 to 120 matches the Rfam family "5.8S ribosomal RNA", at positions 35 to 154 of the family's 154-position model. The record is from RNAcentral.
GAUGAAGAACGUAGCGAAAUGCGAUAAGUAAUGUGAAUUGCAGAAUUCAGUGAAUCAUCGAGUCUUUGAACGCACAUUGCGCCCCCUGGUAUUCCGGGGGGCAUGCCUGUCCGAGCGUCAUUGCCGCCCUCAAGCUCGGCUUGUGUGUUGGGCCCCCGCCCCCCGGCUUCGGGGGGCGGGCCCGAAAGGCAGCGGCGGCACCGCGUCCGGUCCUCGAGCGUAUGGGGCUUCGUCACCCGAUCUGUAGGCCCGGCCGGCGCCCGCCGGCGACCCCAAUCAAUCUUUCCAGGUUGACCUCGGAUCAGGUAGGGAUACCCGCUGAACUUAAGCAUAUCAAUAAGCGGAGGA